CCAUGGUUUUUUUUAAAAAAGGGUUUCUUCACUUUGGGAUGGCCCCGGGCGUAUUAGCUAGUUGUGAGGCUAAGGCUCACCAAGGCAGUGAUACGUAGCCGACCUGAGAGGGUAAUCGGCCACAUUGGGACUGAGACACGGCCCAGAUUCUUACGGGAGGCAGCAGUAGGGAAUCUUCCCCAAUGGACGCAAGUCUGAUGGAGCAACGCCGCGUGAGUGAAGAAGGGUUUCGGCUCGUAAAGUUCUGUUGUUAAAGAAGAACGUGGGUAAGAGUAACUGUUUACCCAGUGACGGUAUUUAACCAGAAAGCCACGGCUAACUACGUGCCAGCAGCCGCGGUAAUACGUAGGUGGCAAGCGUUAUCCGGAUUUAUUGGGCGUAAAGCGAGCGCAGGCGGUCUUUUAAGUCUAAUGUGAAAGCCUUCGGCUCAACCGAAGAAGUGCAUUGGAAACUGGGAGACUUGAGUGCAGAAGAGGACAGUGGAACUCCAUGUGUAGCGGUGAAAUGCGUAGAUAUAUGGAAGAACACCAGUGGCGAAGGCGGCUGUCUGGUCUGCAACUGACGCUGAGGCUCGAAAGCAUGGGUAGCGAACAGGAUUAGAUACCCUGGUAGUCCAUGCCGUAAACGAUGAUUACUAAGUGUUGGAGGGUUUCCGCCCUUCAGUGCUGCAGCUAACGCAUUAAGUAAUCCGCCUGGGGAGUACGACCGCAAGGUUGAAACUCAAAAGAAUUGACGGGGGCCCGCACAAGCGGUGGAGCAUGUGGUUUAAUUCGAAGCUACGCGAAGAACCUUACCAGGUCUUGACAUCUUCUGACAGUCUAAGAGAUUAGAGGUUCCCUUCGGGGACAGAAUGACAGGUGGUGCAUGGUUGUCGUCAGCUCGUGUCGUGAGAUGUUGGGUUAAGUCCCGCAACGAGCGCAACCCUUAUUACUAGUUGCCAGCAUUAAGUUGGGCACUCUAGUGAGACUGCCGGUGACAAACCGGAGGAAGGUGGGGACGACGUCAAAUCAUCAUGCCCCUUAUGACCUGGGCUACACACGUGCUACAAUGGAUGGUACAACGAGUCGCGAAACCGCGAGGUUAAGCUAAUCUCUU
RNAcentral lists this ribosomal RNA (1095 nucleotides) under Pediococcus pentosaceus. Its description in RNAcentral is "bacterial SSU rRNA". It matches the Rfam family "Bacterial small subunit ribosomal RNA", at positions 188 to 1277 of the family's 1533-position model. Lineage: Bacteria; Bacillati; Bacillota; Bacilli; Lactobacillales; Lactobacillaceae. The record is from RNAcentral.